Molecule: unclassified non-coding RNA, 281 nt
Filed under: Hevea brasiliensis (rubber tree)
Lineage: Eukaryota; Viridiplantae; Streptophyta; Magnoliopsida; Malpighiales; Euphorbiaceae
Source: RNAcentral
AAAGGAACACCAUUGCUCUCCAAGUUCUUAAAUUCCCUAAUUGGGGUGCCAUCGACAGAGAAUAUGAUGCGCUGGGGAUUCCAAAGAAUGGAAUAGGUGUGAAAAUCUGCAGUUGGGUCAAACCAUAGAUAGAAUUGCUGCUCUCUGUUUCCUUUGCCUUGGCUAAACACGUUAGUGUGAAGAAUGUAGGGGUCUCCACUCAAAUUCCCCAAGAACUCAAAGUCUAUCUCAUCCCAAGUAGACCCUUUCGAGGAUAGAUAAUAAGCGGUGACAGUGCCAGC